UGUAAGCGUAUACCAAAGUUGUUGCAGUUAAAACGCUCGUAGUCGGAAUUUGGCAGUUCCGGAAGUGUGCACGUCGUGUGCGCACUUUGCGGGGACUGCUUUUGUGGUCUUGCGUAGGAUGAGGCACUUUCAUUAGUGAACGUCCUCACGCAACCACUCUUUACUGUGAGAACAUCAGAGUGCUCAAAGCAGGCAUUUGCCGUGAAUGUAUUAGCAUGGAAUAAUAGAAUAGGACUCGGUUCUAUUUUGUUGGUUUGUUGGGACUGAGUAAUGAUUAAGAGGGACAGUUGGGGGCAUUUGUAUUCCGGCGCUAGAGGUGAAAUUCUUAGAUUGCCGGAAGACAAACUGCUGCGAAAGCGUCUGCCAAGGAUGUUUUCAUUGA
Molecule: ribosomal RNA, 382 nt
Filed under: uncultured eukaryote
Lineage: Eukaryota
Description: partial 18S ribosomal RNA
Rfam family: Eukaryotic small subunit ribosomal RNA
Source: RNAcentral